RNAcentral lists this transfer RNA (40 nucleotides) under Citrullus rehmii. RNAcentral's name for it is "partial tRNA-Phe". It matches the Rfam family "tRNA", at positions 1 to 39 of the family's 71-position model. Rfam says of the family: Transfer RNA (tRNA) molecules are approximately 80 nucleotides in length. The record is from RNAcentral. Lineage: Eukaryota; Viridiplantae; Streptophyta; Magnoliopsida; Cucurbitales; Cucurbitaceae.
GCCGGGAUAGCUCAGUUGGUAGAGCANAGGACUGAAAAUC